This 97-nucleotide microRNA precursor is filed under the name Oryza meridionalis. RNAcentral describes it as "pre miRNA MIR439". It matches the Rfam family "MIR439 microRNA precursor family". Lineage: Eukaryota; Viridiplantae; Streptophyta; Magnoliopsida; Poales; Poaceae. The record is from RNAcentral.
UUAUACCCUGUCAAACAACCGCAGUUCGACAGGUACCCUGUCGAAUUGUGGUUGUUCGAUAUAUACUCCUGUCGAACUGUGGAUGUUCAACAGGGUA